UUAGUCACCUUUUUUUUUUACAUUUUAAAUUUAAAGUAGUUGUUAUCCAGUGGAUGCAUUAAACUGAGGAAAGUUAUAUGAAGGCUGGUGGGUGAAGAGGGGGAAAUAUAUGCGCAAAUAAAGAGUUUUCUUUCUGAAAAUAUAAUGUAUGUACAAUAUAAUAGUGGUGUCAUGCUUUGAAAAUAUGUUCCAGUGCAUCACUUAUCUGCAGUCAGUGCGUAUAAAAGUAAUUCUUUAUUUUUAUUUAUUUUUUUUAAAUCAGAGAAUUGUGACAAUCGAGGGAUAUUAAAGCAUCCUGACAUGGAAUUUCAGACUUUAUGAGGAGAAAAAAAUAAGCUUUUAGUGUUUAUAAGUGUGCGUGUUAUAUAAAAGAGUUAAAUAUCGGAAAGGAAAAUAAAUCUGUGACCCAAAAAAAAAAAAAAAAAGACAAGAAAAAUCCCGCCUGUUCUAAAGCAGGGCUCUCUCCAUGUGAAGGCUGCACCGUCCUCUCACAUUCCAGCGCGUCGCAAAAAAAGGGGAUUUAGAGCGACUUAUUUUCUUAAAACUGUCCUCCCGUCCGCAGAGCCAGCCAGUCUGCUCCCAUCAGCCCUCACACAGGCCUGCACCACAAAAUUCACCCAGAAUAUUUCACAGCAGAGUUCCCACCGAGAGCCACCGAGCAGCCGAGGACCUGCACCGGACCUGUAGGGCACAUAGAGCCAGACAGGAGGAUAAAUGACAGGGGAGGGGAGGGGGGGCACCAGAUACAGGCCGGUGGGUCACUUAUUUCACUCCUGCACGAGGAAGAUGUGAAAGAAGAUAAAAAUAUGAAGAUUUCGAUCAGUGGAAGCGGUUGAAUGGAUCAUAACCCUGGAUUUCUUUUAACGACCAAACAUGAGAUUUGAUCUGAGCAGAGGAAAAGUUUUGCUGUUUGGAGGAGGAGAGCUGCUGCACAUUCAGGAGUUUGUCCAACAAACAAACGGAUGCAAUUAAACACACUCGCCUUCAGAUCAUCAAUGAGGAAGCAAAGUCAAGACUGGUGGAAAAACCGGCAAGGACAAAUAUAAGACGGGAGAAGAGUCUGCUGCCUCAAGGUUAAACAUGAACUGUGUAAAGAGCUCGUCUUCACACAAUCUUGAUAGUCUUCUUCAAAGGCAUAUGUGUUUAUUUUAAAUGUUCUCCUUUUACAACUUGAUAUAACUCUUAAUCUUAAUAUAUUUUUGUAUCACUGCUGAAAAUUAAACAAAGGUUGUUAUAAUUUUCCUUUUUCUUCUCUGCCUUCACACUGUCUUGGAAGUAAUUAAGAAAUAAUUAGCAAAUAAAGACUAUCAUUGUCAACCACCAA
Dicentrarchus labrax (European seabass) is the source of this 1324-nucleotide long non-coding RNA. RefSeq lists it as uncharacterized. The record is from RefSeq and is a predicted model, not a curated record. The transcript has 3 exons. Lineage: Eukaryota; Metazoa; Chordata; Actinopteri; Moronidae.